CAUAUCAAUAAGCGGAGGAAAAGAAACCAACAGGGAUUACCUCAGUAACGGCGAGUGAAGCGGUAACAGCUCAAAUUUGAAAGCUAGCUCUUUGAGGGUUCGCAUUGUAAUUUGUAGAAGAUGCUUCGGGUGUGGCCCCGGUCUAAGUUCCUUGGAACAGGACGUCAUAGAGGGUGAGAAUCCCGUAUGUGACUGGGUGCUUUCGCUCAUGUGAAGCUCUUUCGACGAGUCGAGUUGUUUGGGAAUGCAGCUCUAAAUGGGUGGUACAUUUCAUCUAAAGCUAAAUAUUGGCCAGAGACCGAUAGCGCACAAGUAGAGUGAUCGAAAGAUGAAAAGCACUUUGGAAAGAGAGUUAAACAGUACGUGAAAUUGUUGAAAGGGAAGCGCUUGCAACCAGACUUGCGCGCUGAUGAUCAUCCGGGCUUCUGCCCGGUGCACUCGUCUGCGCUCAGGCCAGCAUCGGUUUCGGUGGUGGGAUAAAGGCCUUGGGAAUGUAGCUCCUCUCGGGGAGUGUUAUAGCCCUCGGUGCAAUGCCGCCUACCGGGACCGAGGACCGCGCUUCGGCUAGGAUGCUGGCGUAAUGGUUGUAAGCGACCCGUCUUGAAACACGGACCAAGGAGUCUAACAUCUAUGCGAGUGUUUGGGUGUCAAACCCAUACGCGUAAUGAAAGUGAACGGAGGUGAGAACCCUUAAGGGCGCAUCAUCGACCGGUCCUGAUGUCUUCGGAUGGAUCUGAGUAAGAGCAUAGCUGUUGGGACCCGAAAGAUGGUGAACUAUGCGUGAAUAGGGUGAAGCCAGAGGAAACUCUGGUGGAGGCUCGCAGCGGUUCUGACGUGCAAAUCGAUCGUCAAAUUUGCGUAUAGGGGCGAAAGACUAAUCGAACCAU
RNAcentral lists this ribosomal RNA (887 nucleotides) under Rhynchosporium secalis (leaf blotch of barley). RNAcentral describes it as "partial large subunit ribosomal RNA". It matches the Rfam family "Eukaryotic large subunit ribosomal RNA", at positions 39 to 943 of the family's 3401-position model. Lineage: Eukaryota; Fungi; Ascomycota; Leotiomycetes; Helotiales; Ploettnerulaceae. The record is from RNAcentral.